GCUGGGCAUGAUGGCUCAUGUCUGUAAUCCCAGCACUUUGGGAGGCCGAGGCAGGCGGAUCACCUGAGGUCAGGAGUUCAAGAUCAGCCUGGCCAAUAUGGUGAAACCCUGUCUCUA
RNAcentral lists this non-coding RNA (117 nucleotides) under Nomascus leucogenys (northern white-cheeked gibbon). The record is from Rfam by way of RNAcentral. Lineage: Eukaryota; Metazoa; Chordata; Mammalia; Primates; Hylobatidae.